This 75-nucleotide transfer RNA is filed under the name Serpula lacrymans var. lacrymans S7.3. It matches the Rfam family "tRNA". Rfam says of the family: Transfer RNA (tRNA) molecules are approximately 80 nucleotides in length. Their secondary structure includes four short double-helical elements and three loops (D, anti-codon, and T loops). The record is from Rfam by way of RNAcentral. Lineage: Eukaryota; Fungi; Basidiomycota; Agaricomycetes; Boletales; Serpulaceae.
GCCUUGGUAGCUUAGUUGGUAAAAAGCACCAGACCAUGAAAGCUGAAGUCCCAGGUUCAAGCCCUGGCCAAUGCA